This 440-nucleotide ribosomal RNA is filed under the name uncultured bacterium. RNAcentral's name for it is "partial 16S ribosomal RNA". It matches the Rfam family "Bacterial small subunit ribosomal RNA", at positions 338 to 795 of the family's 1533-position model. The record is from RNAcentral.
CCUACGGGAGGCAGCAGUGGGGAAUAUUGCACAAUGGGAGAAACCCUGAUGCAGCGACGCCGCGUGAGUGAAGAAGUAUCUCGGUACGUAAAGCCCUAUCAGCAGGGAAGAAAAUGACGGUACCUGACUAAGAAGCCCCGGCUAACUACGUGCCAGCAGCCGCGGUAAUACGUAGGGGGCAAGCGUUAUCCGGAUUUACUGGGUGUAAAGGGCGCGUAGACGGCAGCACAAGUCUGGAGUGAAAUCCCGGGGCUUAACCCCGGAACUGCUUUGGAAACUGUUCGGCUGGAGUGUGGGAGGGGUAAGCGGAAUUCCUGGUGUAGGGGUGAAAUGCGUAGAUAUUAGGAGGAACACCGGUGGCGAAGGCGGCUUACUAGACUGUAACUGACGUUGAGGCUCGAAAGCGUGGGGAGCAAACAGGAUUAGAUACCCGAGUAGUC